UGGGGAAUUUUGGACAAUGGGCGAAAGCCUGAUCCAGCAAUGCCGCGUGUGUGAAGAAGGCCUUCGGGUUGUAAAGCACUUUUGUCCGGAAAGAAAUCCUUGGCUCUAAUACAGUCGGGGGAUGACGGUACCGGAAGAAUAAGCACCGGCUAACUACGUGCCAGCAGCCGCGGUAAUACGUAGGGUGCAAGCGUUAAUCGGAAUUACUGGGCGUAAAGCGUGCGCAGGCGGUUUGCUAAGACCGAUGUGAAAUCCCCGGGCUCAACCUGGGAACUGCAUUGGUGACUGGCAGGCUAGAGUAUGGCAGAGGGGGGUUAGAAUUCCACGUGUAGCAGUGAAAUGCGUAGAGAUGUGGAGGAAUACCGAUGGCGAAGGCAGCCCCCUGGGCCAAUACUGACGCUCAUGCACGAAAGCGUGGGGAGCAAACAGGAUUAGAUACCCUGGUAGUCCACGCCCUAAACGAUGUCAACUAGUUGUUGGGGAUUCAUUUCCUUAGUAACGUAGCUAACGCGUGAAGUUGACCGCCUGGGGAGUACGGUCGCAAGAUUAAAACUCAAAGGAAUUGACGGGGUCAUAGCUGUUUCCU
Molecule: ribosomal RNA, 586 nt
Filed under: uncultured bacterium
Lineage: Bacteria
Description: partial 16S ribosomal RNA
Rfam family: Bacterial small subunit ribosomal RNA
Source: RNAcentral